GCGCGAAACUCUACAAUGCAGGCAACUGCGAUAGGGGAACAUCGAGUGAUACUCAUCUUGGGUGUCUGUCCUCCCGUCUAAAAAACGGGAGUUAGCAAGGGCCGGGCAAGACCGGUGCCAGCCGCCGCGGUAAUACCGGCGGCUCGAGUGGUGGCCGAUAUUAUUGAGUCUAAAGGGUCCGUAGCCGGCUUUGCAAGUCUUUUGGGAAAUCCAGCGGCUUAACCGUUGGUCGUCCGGGAGAUACUACAUUGCUUGGGACUGGGAGAGGUAGGAGGUACUCAGGGGGUAGGAGUGAAAUCCUGUAAUCCUUUGGGGACCACCGGUGGCGAAGGCGUCCUACCAGAACAGGUCCGACGGUGAGGGACGAAAGCUAGGGGCACGAACCGGAUUAGAUACCCGGGUAGUCCUAGCCGUAAACGAUGCUCGCUAGGUGUCACAACAAUCGUGAAUUGUUGUGGUGCCGUAGGGAAGCCGUGAAGCGAGCCACUUGGGAAGUACGACCGCAAGGUUGAAACUUAAAGGAAUUGGCGGGGGAGCAC
RNAcentral lists this ribosomal RNA (539 nucleotides) under uncultured archaeon. RNAcentral describes it as "bacterial SSU rRNA". It matches the Rfam family "Archaeal small subunit ribosomal RNA", at positions 339 to 879 of the family's 1478-position model. The record is from RNAcentral.